UCUGUAGCGUCUUGCAGGAUAUUUGAA
RNAcentral lists this non-coding RNA (27 nucleotides) under Rattus norvegicus (Norway rat). The record is from RNAcentral. Lineage: Eukaryota; Metazoa; Chordata; Mammalia; Rodentia; Muridae.